GCCUGAUGCUGGGUUUUCCAAUGGUACUAACUCCAAACUACUCCAAAAUUCAGUAAUCAUCUGCAACUCGAUUCAGCUUUCCAGGGACAACAAACAACAUGCAAUUGGUAUUUCUACUUCACAAGCAGCGUACGAAAAUUAUCCAUUUCAUUUUUCUACAAUUCAGGAAUAACACAAAUGUUUAUUGUUUAUUUCCACCUUAAAAGGUGUACUAAUCUAUAUAAUCUACAACUUGGAAGAAGGUUUCUUUGCACUUCGACCAGCUAUGAACUCCUGCAUCUUCCUGAACUGAUCCUUGGUCAUUCCAUUGUAAUACUCGUGUGCCCUCUCCUUUUCUAAAGAGAGUGCACGACCCAAGUCCAGCUUCAGGCCAUCAUUUAUGACAGAUUUGUAUCUCAACACCAAAUCUUGAUUAUUUUUUAUCAUGGCCUCUGCAAUUGCUCGUGCUUUCUUUAAUAGUUCACUCUCCUCAACAACAUAGUUAACCAAGCCCCAUUUCUCAGCCUGCUCAGCUGUUAUAGGCAUGGCAGUUAAAGAAGCUUCACGAGCCCUGCCAGGUCCUAUAAUGCGUGGAAGCUUCUGUGAAAGGCCCCAAGAAGGAAAUAUCCCAAAUCUAGCAUGAGUAUCCAAAAACUUGGCUCCUUUAGCAGCAACCAGAAUAUCACAAGCGAGCGCUAUUUCAAAUCCGGCGGUCACCGCAAACCCGUUGAUCGCACCGAUAAUGGGUUUUUUGCACCGCUCCAUCUGCGCAACCGGAUCGGACUCCACGUCCUUAACAUCCCCUUUAAAAACGUCCUCAGCCGCGGUGAGGUCGACGCCGGAACAGAAAGCCCGACCAGUUCCGCACAGAAUGAUGACGUGGACCGAAUCAUCCAGACCUAGAGCCUUGAUCUCGUGGGCCAUGCGGGUCAUCAUUGCCUUGGUCAAGGAGUUGAGGGAUUUAGGACGAUUGAUUGUGAUGGUUGCGACGCCGUUUGGAUCGCGGGAAACGAGGAUGAGACUUUCGGGUGGGGGUCGAUCCAUCGUUGCCUUAGUAGGGUUGUGAACUUGUGAGAAGUGGAGUUGAGGGAGGAAUUCGCGCCUUCGCGGAUUGGUUUUUAUGGAGGUAUCAGAGUCUUGGUUUGCGUGCAAUUAAACAGUCCUAUCCUCGGUGACGUUGGAUUGCGGUGGUUACAGAGCACCG
Molecule: unclassified non-coding RNA, 1183 nt
Filed under: Hevea brasiliensis (rubber tree)
Lineage: Eukaryota; Viridiplantae; Streptophyta; Magnoliopsida; Malpighiales; Euphorbiaceae
Source: RNAcentral